This 1402-nucleotide ribosomal RNA is filed under the name uncultured bacterium. RNAcentral describes it as "bacterial SSU rRNA". It matches the Rfam family "Bacterial small subunit ribosomal RNA". The record is from RNAcentral.
AGUUUGAUCCUGGCUCAGGAUGAACGCUAGCGACAGGCUUAACACAUGCAAGUCGAGGGGCAGCGGGGGUGAUGGCUUGCCAUCACCUGCCGGCGACCGGCGCACGGGUGAGUAACACGUAUGCAACCUGCCCGCCACAGGGGGAUAAGCGGAAGAGAUUCCGUCUAAUACCGCGUGACGCGGCGUCGGGGCAUCCCGGUGCCGCCAAAGGGAUUACCGGUGGCGGAUGGGCAUGCGGCGCAUUAGCUAGUCGGCGGGGUAACGGCCCACCGAGGCGACGAUGCGUAGGGGUUCUGAGAGGAAGGUCCCCCACACUGGUACUGAGACACGGACCAGACUCCUACGGGAGGCAGCAGUGAGGAAUAUUGGUCAAUGGGCGGGAGCCUGAACCAGCCAAGUCGCGUGAGGGAUGACGGUCCUACGGAUUGUAAACCUCUUUUGCCGGGGAGCAAGCGUGCGUUCGUGAACGCGCGUCGAGAGUACCCGGAGAAAAAGCAUCGGCUAACUCCGUGCCAGCAGCCGCGGUAAUACGGAGGAUGCGAGCGUUAUCCGGAUUUAUUGGGUUUAAAGGGUGCGUAGGCGGGAUGCCAAGUCAGCGGUAAAAAUGCGGUGCUCAACGCCGUCGAGCCGUUGAAACUGGCGUUCUUGAGUGGGCGAGAAGUAUGCGGAAUGCGUGGUGUAGCGGUGAAAUGCAUAGAUAUCACGCAGAACUCCGAUUGCGAAGGCAGCAUACCGGCGCCCUACUGACGCUGAGGCACGAAAGCGUGGGUAUCGAACAGGAUUAGAUACCCUGGUAGUCCACGCAGUAAACGAUGAAUGCUAACUGUCCGGUGCGAGUGAGCGCUGGGCGGUACAGCGAAAGCGUUAAGCAUUCCACCUGGGGAGUACGCCGGCAACGGUGAAACUCAAAGGAAUUGACGGGGGCCCGCACAAGCGGAGGAACAUGUGGUUUAAUUCGAUGAUACGCGAGGAACCUUACCCGGGCUCAAACGCAGGAUGACGGGUCCCGAAAGGGGCCUUUCUUCGGACAUUCUGCGAGGUGCUGCAUGGUUGUCGUCAGCUCGUGCCGUGAGGUGUCGGCUUAAGUGCCAUAACGAGCGCAACCCCUGUCCACAGUUGCCAGCAGGUAAAGCUGGGGACUCUGUGGAGACUGCCGGCGCAAGCUGCGAGGAAGGCAGGGAUGACGUCAAAUCAUCAUGCCCUUAUGGCCUGGGCUACACACGUACUACAAUGGCGGCUACAAAGAGCAGCGAGACAGGGAUGUCGAGCGAAUCUCAUAAAAGCCGUCCCAGUUCGGAUUGGAGGCUGCAACCCGCCUCCAUGAAGUUGGAAUCGCUAGUAAUCGCGGAUCAGCAUGCCGCGGUGAAUACGUUCCCGGGUCUUGCACUCACCGCCCGUCAAG